This 583-nucleotide ribosomal RNA is filed under the name bacterium fme09x51p308. Its description in RNAcentral is "bacterial SSU rRNA". It matches the Rfam family "Bacterial small subunit ribosomal RNA", at positions 48 to 654 of the family's 1533-position model. The record is from RNAcentral.
GCUACACAUGCAGUCGACGGUAAGGCCCCUUCGGGGGUACACGAGUGGCGAACGGGUGAGUAACACGUGGGUGAUCUGCCCUGCACUCUGGGAUAAGCCUGGGAAACUGGGUCUAAUACCGGAUAUGACCUUGGACUGCAUGGUCCUUGGUGGAAAGGUUUACUGGUGCAGGAUGGGCCCGCGGCCUAUCAGCUUGUUGGUGGGGUAAUGGCCUACCAAGGCGACGACGGGUAGCCGGCCUGAGAGGGCGACCGGCCACACUGGGACUGAGACACGGCCCAGACUCCUACGGGAGGCAGCAGUGGGGAAUAUUGCACAAUGGGCGAAAGCCUGAUGCAGCGACGCCGCGUGAGGGAUGACGGCCUUCGGGUUGUAAACCUCUUUCAGCAGGGACGAAGCGAGAGUGACGGUACCUGCAGAAGAAGCACCGGCUAACUACGUGCCAGCAGCCGCGGUAAUACGUAGGGUGCGAGCGUUGUCCGGAAUUACUGGCGUAAAGAGUUCGUAGGCGGUUGUCACGUCGUUGUGAACUCACAGCUCACUGUGAGCCUGCAGGCGAUACGGGCAGACUUGAGUACUGCAG